AUACGGAGGAUGCGAGCGUUAUCCGGAUUUAUUGGGUUUAAAGGGUGCGUAGGCGGUUUUUCAAGUCAGCGGUGAAACGCAAGGGCUCAACCCUUGACCUGCCGUUGAAACUGUUGGACUAGAAUGCGGAUGCUGUGGGAGGAAUGUGUGGUGUAGCGGUGAAAUGCAUAGAUAUCACACAGAACACCGAUUGCGAAGGCAUCUCGCAAAUCCGUGAUUGACGCUGAGGCACGAAAGUGUGGGGAUCAAACAGGAUUAGAUACCCUGGUAGUCCACACUGUAAACGAUGAUAACUCGCUGUCGGCGAUACACAGUCGGUGGCCAAGCGAAAGCGAUAAGUUAUCCACCUGGGGAGUACGACCGCAAGGUUGAAACUCAAAUGAAUUGGCGGGG
This 393-nucleotide ribosomal RNA is filed under the name uncultured bacterium. RNAcentral's name for it is "partial 16S ribosomal RNA". It matches the Rfam family "Bacterial small subunit ribosomal RNA", at positions 523 to 918 of the family's 1533-position model. The record is from RNAcentral.